UAAAUAAGGAAAUUUUCAAAAAAAAAUCCAUGAGGUUUUAUACUUUUUUAUUUUACUAUUCUGUGGUUUAAAGUGUAUCGAGUUAGUACCUGUAGUUUCACACUUUUCACUUUAGUAUUCUGUAGUUUAAAGUGUAUUAAGUUAGUAUUCUGUAAUUUUAUUUUUGUAACAAGUUAGUACCCUAUGGUUUUAUUUUUGUAUCAAGUUAGUACCCUGUGCUUUUAUUUUUCUCUUAAUGAAAUAUUAAACCACAAGGUACUAAAGUGAGAAAGUGCGAAACCACAGGGUACUAACUUGAUACACUUUAAACCACAGGGUACUAAAGUGAGAAAGUGCGAAACCACAGGGUACUAACUUGAUACACUUUAAACCACAGGGUACUAAAGUAAAAAAGUGCGAAACCACAGAGUACUAACUUGAUAUACUUCAAACCACAGGAUACUAAAGUGAGAAAGAGUAAAAUCACAAUAGGAGUAUUUGAAGUUUUUCCUAAUGAAUAAUAAAUUGAUUAGUAAUUAAAAUUCAUGCAU
RNAcentral lists this long non-coding RNA (530 nucleotides) under Ananas comosus (pineapple). RNAcentral describes it as "long non-coding RNA (ACOM_LNC018631)". The record is from RNAcentral. Lineage: Eukaryota; Viridiplantae; Streptophyta; Magnoliopsida; Poales; Bromeliaceae.